GGGUUGCAAUCUGAAACUGGUUUUGCAUCUCCCAUUGCCUGAGGAUGCUCAUGCAGUGGCACAGACCCGGCAUCUUCUGUGUUCCAGGAUUUUGGAUUGUGCCCAGUGUAGUUUGCUUUGAGGUAAUCCAGUCCUGAGGUAUGAAAGCAAGGAUCCUAACAAGAAAUUCUACGGUCAAAGGGAAUCUCUGUUUCAUUGAGGACAGAGGGUGGAGAGACUUCAUUUUAUGAGCAGCAUCUUUAAUACAGGGUUUUCUUCUGCCUGUGAUUUAAUGUCCUUGGAUC
Long non-coding RNA from Cyanistes caeruleus (blue tit), 284 nucleotides. RefSeq lists it as uncharacterized. The record is from RefSeq and is a predicted model, not a curated record. NCBI's taxonomy places the organism in Eukaryota, Metazoa, Chordata, Aves, Passeriformes, Paridae.